This 2252-nucleotide long non-coding RNA is filed under the name Homo sapiens (human). RNAcentral's name for it is "HSALNT0158302". The record is from RNAcentral. Lineage: Eukaryota; Metazoa; Chordata; Mammalia; Primates; Hominidae.
CUCCUGUCUCCCCUAAGAACUGAAGGAGUUCUGUAUGCAGCUGAAGGGUAACAUCCCUUGGGAGCUUUUGCCUUGUCUGGCUGACGCCUUGGCAAUCGCAAGUGACAGUGACGGAGAGCCACCUCCUCUGGAAUGCAUCAUGGAACAGGUCUGGGAGAACAGAGGGUGCAGAAAGGGAAAAGCCAGGCAUUUGUAGUCCUCCUGCCACAGAUGACCAGAAUGACCUCACCCAGGACAAACGGCGACAGAUUUAGGAAUUCAAGCCAGCUUUUCUGACUCCCAGGCACCUGCUCUCUCCUUUCGAGUGUUCGACUCCACUCUCAGUCACUCGUCACUCUUCCCAGAAGGACAAAUGUGCAGCUUCUAUGUCUUGGAUUUCAAAUAAAAGACGAGGAACUUGGUGAAAUGAGGUGGUCUUUGCCUUCCGCGUCACUCUCUGCUCCUCCUGGCAAGAGGCCCCAUUUUUCUUGCCACUGAGGUUAAGUGAAAACAAAACAAAACAAACAAACAAAAAAGAGGCCCCAUUCACAGUAAAGAUAAACAGCAGCCUGGGCAGGCCAGCGGCUCUUCCCUGACGUGGAAUUAUGAGCCCUCUUUCUUCGAUUUUGCCACAUACCCGCAGCUGCACUCCCAUAAUCUGAAAGCUGUCCCUUUAAUUUUUACCACUUCAUUAUUAGAAUUGGAGUAGAAUGAAAAUUAAUUUUUCCCUGAGCUAUUUUUGUGUCCCUUGAGUUAACCAGAAAUACCAACCCUGGAAAGAGAUGUGGGGGACAGUCAUUUUAGAGAGCGGACACCACUGCUGAAGAAGAAGGAUAUCCCGGUUGGCUGCUCUAGAGCCGGCAGGACGGAUGCUGAGGUUGUUCGCAGCAGCGUGUGUGCAGAGCCCCCGGGAUCUUGCAGACUGGGAUUUGUCAGGGCAGGUGUGGACAUUGAGGCUAUUUCUAACAAGCUCCUACAUGAUGCUGGGGCUGCAGAGCCCCAGGCCGCACUUGGAGUAUGAGAGUUUCCAGGGAGUGAAGCCCCGGCUGCUCUCUCUGCCCCCUCUCCAUCUGCCCCCUGGGUGAGGACAGGACUCCCAUCCCUCCAGUGCACAGUGAGUGCUGCUCAAUCUGCAUCCACAGCGGUUUGUGCCCAGAUGCUUCCUCACUCAGCGUCUAACAGGGUGCAGUGGAAACGUCAUUGACUGGAGGAAAGGUGUGUGGGUGAGAAACGUUUGUCGGUUGAGUAACUUUUUGUCGUUAUUUUUUUUCUCUGAUGUUCAAAGUAAGAGAAAACUCAUCUGGCCCCUGGAGCCCAUGUGAGCAACAUGAAAGAUAAAGGGAAAAGGGGGCUGAUAAAGAUGUGGACCGAGUCUGAGAUAAGAUUCUUUGCCCCUUGGGUGAAUCCAGGUGAAGUUGUUUUACUCUUAGCCCAGCCAGCCCUGGAUAAAGGCUUCAUCCCUCUUCUCUUUCCUGUCCAUAUAUCAGAACUUUAAGCUCUACUUGUACCCAGUGAAGAUUAGAAUAACGCACGGAGCACAGGAAAUGUCUAGGUGAUGAUUUCACUGAGCUUUACAAGGGACACAGGUACGCAUCAAGAGCUUGGGCCACUGGGUAAAGAGGGAUCUGGUUCUUGCUCUAACGCGGUUCAUCUUCUGUGUCAGAAUCAGAUAGAUUCUGGGUGUCAGAGACCCGAAUCUUCCUCUUGUUCCGCUCACUGCCCCCCUGUGGCCCCUUCUCAUUUCAAAUGCUCUGUCUGUAAUAUGAAAUGAAAAGAAUUCCUCCCAGACCCCUAGCCAAAUUUCACCUUAAGCUCGUUGACUCCCAGAGGAAAUCUCUGUGGGAGACUGGAAAGAGGACGCUGGAGCCAGAGGCUAUCUUUGAUAGUGAGGUGAGGUUUACUGUUUAAUAAGAACUCCAAAGAUAUGCCUAAUAUUGAAGGUUGUCUCUCGCUUCCUUGGGAAACCCAAACCAGAAGUUUAGGCCGUAUAGAAAGUAAGUGGUUUGGGUGCAAAAGGGAUGUAGAACAUCCCUUUUAAUGGUAUCAUAGAAUAUGAGAACUAGAAGAGAGCUCAAAGAUCAUUUAGGCCAACCUCUACAUUUUAUAGAUAAGAACACUGGGCCUGUGGUCAUUCCACAAGUUUGUGGCAAGCCUUGGAUUACAACAGAUCACCAGGUUCCCUGACUCCUAGUUCAGUGCUUUUCCAACACCCAGAAUCAUAAUCUUCAGGAAGGAGCGUGCUUUUCACCUAUCUGUUGAAGGUUAUCUCUUAC